Archocentrus centrarchus (flier cichlid) is the source of this 581-nucleotide long non-coding RNA. RefSeq lists it as uncharacterized. Lineage: Eukaryota; Metazoa; Chordata; Actinopteri; Cichliformes; Cichlidae. The record is from RefSeq and is a predicted model, not a curated record. The transcript has 3 exons.
UUUUUGCUGCAGUGAACGGUAGCCGUGGAAAGCGAGCAAGAGCGAGAUAGAGAUACAAAGACAGAGUGAGAGAGAGAGAGCGGAGGGGGAAAAAAAAAGCAAGAAAAACAAGGAGUCAGGAGAAGGAACAAAGAAGGGAAAAAAAGUCGAUAAAAGCAGAUUGAGAGAAGGCUCCGGACAAGCGACUGCUGCGCAUCAAAGGAGGGACCUUACUGGGGACCUUAUUGGAGACCAGUAUCAACGAAACCCGACUCCGGAGGCGGACUAUAACGGUGACACUCCAGAGCUCCUCUGCCCUCCUGAGGAUUCAGUGAGACAGGCGGAUCUGUGUGCCCGAACAUGGCCUUCCCAUCAGCCCUCUCUGCAAUAUGGAGUGUCAGCUUAUUGACAGUACUCUUCACAGCUGUGGUUCACAGCAAUAUUGGCUUUGAAGAUGACCCCUUGCAGCCAGUGACCGCCGAUGAGACAGUGCCCGCGGGGGGCACAGUGAUAUUGACCUGUCGGGUGGCAGAGAGUGACAACUCCUCGCUGCAAUGGUCCAACACUGCACAGCAGACCCUGUACUUUGGAGAGAAGAGAGG